CUACGGGUGGCAGCAGUGGGGAAUAUUGGACAAUGGGCGAAAGCCUGAUCCAGCCAUGCCGCGUGUGUGAAGAAGGCCUUCGGGUUGUAAAGCACUUUCAGUGGGGAAGAAAGCCUUGGGGCUAAUACCCUCGAGGAAGGACAUCACCCACAGAAGAAGCACCGGCUAACUCCGUGCCAGCAGCCGCGGUAAUACGGAGGGUGCGAGCGUUAAUCGGAAUUACUGGGCGUAAAGCGCGCGUAGGCGGUCUGAUAAGCCGGUUGUGAAAGCCCCGGGCUCAACCUGGGAACGGCAUCCGGAACUGGCAGGCUAGAGUGCAGGAGAGGAAGGUAGAAUUCCCGGUGUAGCGGUGAAACGCGUAGAGAUCGGGAGGAAUACCGGUGGCGAAGGCGGCCUCCUGGACUGACACUGACGCUGAGGUGCGAAAGCGUGGGUAGCAAACAGGAUUAGAUACCCGAGUAGUC
Molecule: ribosomal RNA, 464 nt
Filed under: Vreelandella stevensii
Lineage: Bacteria; Pseudomonadati; Pseudomonadota; Gammaproteobacteria; Oceanospirillales; Halomonadaceae
Description: partial 16S ribosomal RNA
Rfam family: Bacterial small subunit ribosomal RNA
Source: RNAcentral